CCACUCUCCCUCCCUCAUUCACUCUCAUCUGAUUUUUUAAGACUCUCUCAAGUGUUCUCUCCAUUUUCAACCCCAAGAACACCAAAGAAACUUGGAGGCUAAGUCUUGGUCUAGGAAGUAUUUUCCCUAAGUUGGUUAGGGUUUUUGAAAGGUUUUGGAGGAGCCAAAGCUAAUAGGAAGGUCCAAACCUUAAGCAAGAACACCAAAGAGGUAAGUGCAAGGGCAAGGCAGAGCAGUGAGCGCUGGAGUCUUCCUUGCAAAUGUAUAUGUGGACCGACCUUUUGGGAAGCCUUUUUAUUUUUGGAAAUGUUGUGUAA
This is a long non-coding RNA of Humulus lupulus (European hop), 317 nucleotides long. RefSeq lists it as uncharacterized. The transcript is spliced from 3 exons. NCBI's taxonomy places the organism in Eukaryota, Viridiplantae, Streptophyta, Magnoliopsida, Rosales, Cannabaceae. The record is from RefSeq and is a predicted model, not a curated record.